AAACAUAAUGCACGAAAAGAACUAAAUCAUGCGAAUGAAAGGAGGAGAGCGCCCUCAGCAGUUCUCAGGAACCCUAAUGCACGAAAGAACCCUAAUCAGCCUUGGCUGCUACCAUUCCCACGCGAUUGAGGAAAGAAAUGCCUAAGAAGAGCCAAAAUAUCCCUGUUGGUUCAUGGAGUUUUCCCCCUCACCUUAGAUAUGAGAUGUAUUUUGUUUCCUUCUCGAAGUGAAUGUAACAUUAUGAACCUGGAAUCAUUUAUAACCUAAGUUUGUUUUACUAGUAUUGAUGCAUGGUGAUGCUAAGCUGAUAGAUGUAUGCUAUGUUGUUUAAGUGCAAAGUUGUUCGUA
Phoenix dactylifera (date palm) is the source of this 348-nucleotide non-coding RNA. Lineage: Eukaryota; Viridiplantae; Streptophyta; Magnoliopsida; Arecales; Arecaceae. The record is from RefSeq and is a predicted model, not a curated record.